RNAcentral lists this transfer RNA (67 nucleotides) under Bathymodiolus puteoserpentis. RNAcentral's name for it is "tRNA-Phe". The record is from RNAcentral. RNAcentral also lists the same sequence under 3 other names. Lineage: Eukaryota; Metazoa; Mollusca; Bivalvia; Mytilida; Modiolidae.
AAUACUAGUAGCUUAAUGUAAAGCUCUCUACUGAAAAUGGAGGAGAUGAUUUAUUAUUCCUGUGUUA